This 608-nucleotide ribosomal RNA is filed under the name Listeria monocytogenes. RNAcentral describes it as "partial 23S ribosomal RNA". It matches the Rfam family "Bacterial large subunit ribosomal RNA", at positions 415 to 1023 of the family's 2925-position model. Lineage: Bacteria; Bacillati; Bacillota; Bacilli; Caryophanales; Listeriaceae. The record is from RNAcentral.
CGGCGGAACACGUGAAAUUCCGUCGGAAUCCGGGAGGACCAUCUCCCAAGGCUAAAUACUCCCUAGUGACCGAUAGUGAACCAGUACCGUGAGGGAAAGGUGAAAAGCACCCCGGAAGGGGAGUGAAACAGUUCCUGAAACCGUGUGCCUACAAGUAGUUAGAGCCCGUUAAUGGGUGAUAGCGUGCCUUUUGUAGAAUGAACCGGCGAGUUACGAUUUGUUGCAAGGUUAAGCGGAAAAAGCGGAGCCGUAGCGAAAGCGAGUCUGAAUAGGGCGCAUAAGUAACAGGUCGUAGACCCGAAACCAGGUGAUCUACCCAUGUCCAGGAUGAAGGUAAGGUAAUACUUACUGGAGGUCCGAACCCACGCACGUUGAAAAGUGCGGGGAUGAGGUGUGGGUAGCGGAGAAAUUCCAAUCGAACUUGGAGAUAGCUGGUUCUCUCCGAAAUAGCUUUAGGGCUAGCCUCGAGGUAAAGAGUCAUGGAGGUAGAGCACUGUUUGGACUAGGGGCCCUUCUCGGGUUACCGAAUUCAGAUAAACUCCGAAUGCCAUGUACUUAUACUCGGGAGUCAGACUGCGAGUGAUAAGAUCCGUAGUCGAAAGGGAAAC